Molecule: non-coding RNA, 700 nt
Organism: Lolium perenne
Lineage: Eukaryota; Viridiplantae; Streptophyta; Magnoliopsida; Poales; Poaceae
Source: RefSeq, a predicted model, not a curated record
UUGGCCGAUCGACCAAACCACCGGAUCGUCUUCAACCUCCCUAACGUACUUACUGAAGCCAUGGCUGCACCUUUCCCCUUCUCCCCUAGAACAUUCUAGAUACCGAAACGCCUCACUUUAAACACGAAAGUUACUCCUCUUCCAUCCACGGUUCAAUUCAGGGCAUUAAAAUCUGUUUUAGUGCACAGUAAAAUCGCCAAUUUUGGCCAUCAAGACCAUUACCGUUUCGGCCGAUUCCGUUCGUCUCCCGUCGAUCUACUCCCUUCCCCUGCGUAUAAAGCUACCCCGACCUUCCCCAUCGCAUAUCACACCCCUCCACCACUCCACGCCCCCAGGCUGCCCCUUUAGAGGGAGAAUUUCUUCACCGAACUCGCCGGCGGCCGCACGACGCCCAUGUCCGCGGCGAGUCCGAGGUCACCCACGACGAGUAUCCAAAGCCGCCGACACUAGACUACUGGAGCCGUGCGUCACCAUCUUCAGGAGCUUCUCCGAUAAUUCCUGAGAGCAUCUUCAUGCAAGAAACAGCGUAUUCCUCUUCCUCCUAGGCACCGGUGACCCCACGCCGUUCACCAUAGUGAGACACGACCUCUGCAACAGCCUCUGCCAAAAAUCCCCGAUUUCACGAAGAGUGACGGGAUAUUUUAUCAAGGAAGUAAUUAUCGGUAGCUAUGUUGACAAGAUAAUUAUUCUUCAUUUAUAG